Molecule: long non-coding RNA, 3406 nt
Filed under: Manihot esculenta (cassava)
Lineage: Eukaryota; Viridiplantae; Streptophyta; Magnoliopsida; Malpighiales; Euphorbiaceae
Description: long non-coding RNA (MESC_LNC003094)
Source: RNAcentral
CAAUGAACAAAUAGUCUGUUGGGGAAUUUCGAUAUUCCACUCUCAAAGUAGCUUGUACAUCAGUGGUUCCCUGAAUAUUUCCUGAUACACCAACAUAUGCAGUAACAUAAUAAGUGGAACCUGGAGAAACAAUGCUUGUGAUAUCUUGCUCCAAGCCCUGCCAACUUUCUGUUCGAUUCGUGACAACUGCAUAAUAACCACCUCGCUUUGUUAAGAAUGCUGGGUGACCUGACUCUGCUGAAACCGCAGAGAAACUGCAGCCAUUUGCGUGCCAAGAAUGCAGUCCUUGAGAGAAGUCAUGGUUCGUUAUGACAUUGAUGGUAGUGUUGCCACUUGAACCAGAUAUGCCCUGGUCUAUUAUGGUCUUGCUGACAGUGUCACCUCUUGAACCAGCCAUCCCAUGGUCCGCUGUGAUGUUGAUGGUUUCGCUGCUACAGGAAGUAGCUAUGCCCUGGUCCGUUGUGGUCUUGAUGGUUCCGCUGCUACUUGAACUAGCUAUGCCCUGGUCCAUUAUAUUAAAGUUUGAGCAAGUUUGAAAUAUAUAUGUAAAAACAUGUAAAGAUUCUCCCAUAGAACAUUAAUAAUGAUAGAAGGAAAAAACUGUUUUGCACAGGAUCUAUAUUGACCUAUAAUGUAAAAUAGUAAUGAAAUUUACAUAAAAUUUCAUAAAUUUAUACUACAGACUCAUAUAGAUCUGAUAUAGAUAAGGAUUGUCUGUAAAAUUAGUUCAACUUACCUGAAUUGUUGGAUGAGGGGAGGAAUGUACUUUUUCAGCAUGCUUUAGAAAAAAGCCAUUGACAAGAAUAUCAGUGUCUGCAGGUGGACCUUCUAUAUAAAUUACUACCUUUUUAGGGUAAUUAUCUAGAAGGAACUUCCCCUUCAACUGUACCCACUUUUUAUCUGUUACCUCCAUACUAUACAUCCAAAAAGACAAUCAUCAUGAAAUCAAUUAAAAAAUAUAGUAAAAGAAAAUCUAGAUAAUUUAAUUUAGUUGAUGAAAAUGAAAGAAAUGAUAUAACUUAAUAAAACCUAAAACCUCAUAUUCCUAUAUGAUAUAGUUAUAAAAAUCUAUAUAAUCUAAAUAUAUAUAAAAACUAUAAAAUUAACUUUAAAAUAUAUUUUUCUAAACGUGAUAAGUGUCUUUCUAUUAGAUUUUUUUUUGUCUAUUUAUCUAUUUUGUCCAUAUCUUAUUACUUAAUAGAUAGCUUUUUAUAUUUUUUUUGAAAGUACGUGAGUUUUCAUUUUAAUAAUAAUAAUAAUAAAUAUGUAUAUAUUAAAUAAAAUUUAUUAGUAUUAUUAUUAUUAUUAUUCCUGAUUGACAAAUGAAUAACAAGUAAAAUUAAGAUGAAAAAGUAAUUAUUCUCUAUUUUAACAACAAAAAAAUAAUAUUUAUAACUUUCUCUUGUUAAGUUUGUAAUAAAAAAAUCGAUGAUGAUUUUUUUACUGUUAAUCUCUAAAGAAAAUAAUCUUUUAUGAUAUUUGAUUUAAUACAGAAAAUGAAGUUAAUUAUUAGCGUAUUAGUAUUAAUCUUAGUUAUGUUUAGUAUAAUAAAAUGAUAAAUAAAAGAAAUUGAGAGAUUAAAAUUUAACCCAGUCCAGAUAUUGCAGUAUAAGAGGUAGUGUAAUGAAUAUGCACUCAGUAGGUGAAUAUUAAUCUGGUGUAAAUUUUAACUCAAAAAAUCAACCAUAGCUAAAUGAGAUUAACUAUUUAUAGGAAUAAAAAUUUAAAAUUUCAAUUAUAAAAUACCAUAGAUCUCUUGGUUCUAUAAAUUUUAUUUAAAAAUUAUUAAUUAAAUUAAUUUUACUAAAUAAAUUCAUUUAAUAUAAAUUGAUAAUUAAAAAAAAAAAAUUACAUGUCACUUAAUUAAAAGAGACCAGUUAACCGCCAAAAUAGGCAAUUGAGACUAUUUUCUCAAAUCCUCUGUGAAUAGAGAAGUGCCGAUGGAGAAACUAAGAAGAUUAAGUCUAAGCUAUAGAAAGCUAUGUUAAAAUUGCAAGUUAUCCAUUCUACAGAAUCUUCAUCAAGUUUUAAGACUAUAAAAGUCAUUCUUUCUCAAAUCAAAGAGGGUUUUUUAAUCGAUUUAAGAAUAAACUUUUCAAAUUCUUAAAUCUCAUAAAUCAAAGAAAAAAAAUUAAAGUAUUGAAUUUCUUUAUUUCAAAUAAUUUAUUAUUGGAAAUUCAACUCACUUUUUUUAUUAAAUUAAUAUUUAUUCCCUAUUUUUUUAUUUUUUAAUUUCAGUUAUGAAAUUUAUGUGUACACUGUUACCUUCUUUGACCUUAUACUAAAUAUAUUAAUAGUUAUUUCAAUUAAAUAAGGUCUAAAAAUAUUCACACGAUGUGGGUAAGUGUCUAAUUCAUAAAUCCACAUGAAUAAAAGGUUGAAUUAAGAAAAUGCUAUUUGCAGAAAUCGAAGCUGAUAAAAAGAAUAUUAUGUAUGGAAAUUAUUAGAGGGAAAAAGAGCUAACUUGGCAAUGCCUAUGUAUUCUUCUCGGAGAUCUGUCGUUUGGACGCAUAAAGUAACUCGCACAUCAGCACUGCUAACAUUGUUGCCAAAGAUCCGAACCACAGCAAUGGCCUCAUAAGCUACCUUUGCCUGUACUUUUCCAGUUAUCUCCUGCUCUAUUCCGUUCCAGCUCUGGGUACGCUCAGUUGCACAUGCAAAAACUUUUCCAAACAGGGGGACAAUUUUUCCACAAGCCAAUGAUUCAUGUAAGACAAGCUUGCAGCCUCUUCCAGACCAUUUGUUCAGGCCAUCCUCAAAUUUAGGAUUUGCCAUGAUGUUCCCUUCUCCAUAUCCAGUGUCCACAAAUUGAUAAUUACUUGUUUCCUUUUGAUAGCUUGUUACCUUUUGAUAGCUUGUUUCCUUUCCAUAUCAAAAUGAAAAAUUUUUUACAAAUUUAUCAUCACAAAAAAGUACAAAUAAAAUUAAUAAAUAGGUUUAAGAAGAAAAAUUACAUAGAAUUCACUUGGAGGGGAGCUGGUAAUAACGACUGAUUGUACAAGCAAGUCCACUGCAGGAGAAGGGCCUUCCAAGUAAAAAAGGACACGAUCAGGCUUCUUUGGCAGGGAGAAUUUUCCUUCCAACUUUUCCCACCUUUCCUUUGACAGAGAAAUUCUGCAGGGAUAUAUAACUUACAUUAAGACAAUCUGUAUGUUUCAUUUAAGGAAGAAAUGCAAUAAAAUGAAGCAACAAAUCUAUUACCUUCCAAUGAACAAAUAGUCUGUUGGGGAAUUUCGAUAUUCCACUCUCAAAGUAGCUUGCACAUCAGUGGUUCCUUGAAUAUUUCCUGAUACACCAACAUAUGCAGUAACAUAAUAAGUGGAACCUGGAGAAACAAUGCUUGUGAUAUCUUGCUCCAAGCCCUGCCAACUUUCUGUUCGAUUCGAGACAACUGCAUAAUAACCAC